This is a non-coding RNA of Phoenix dactylifera (date palm), 1301 nucleotides long. The record is from RefSeq and is a predicted model, not a curated record. Lineage: Eukaryota; Viridiplantae; Streptophyta; Magnoliopsida; Arecales; Arecaceae.
UAUUUCGAAUCAAAAAUAGGGUAAAGCCCUGGUAGAGCACGGCGGAGGAGGAAGAGUCCUCCUCCACCACGAGCUCCAUUGAAGGCUAGGAUAAGCCUAGUCUCCACUUUUGUUUACACCCUCAAGCUCCCUAAUUCUUCCUCAUCAGAAGAUCCUCGCAUUUGUCGCAGUCUGCUUCUCUUUUUCUCUUUAGAUUGUCGACGGCUUAAGCUCCCUAUGCUCGCCGAAAAACGCAACCAAACUUCGUCGGAAUUGCAGAUAGUAUGGCAAUGUAAGAUUGAGGGAGUGCAGAAGACUUGGAAAGGAUGCUUUUCAUCAAAGCUGGAAGGAAGGGAUUUGCUAGAUGUAUUUAUGUUUGAGGUAAAUUUCUUAUGUUGUUGUCAUAUGAUAUUUUUUAUAGUACUCUCACCUUGGUGGGCGCACCUUUGUACAUUUUUAUACGUAUCCUCUUUUGGAGUUAACAUUUGCUGACCGUAUGCUCUCUCUCUCUCUCUCUCUUCUGUUUUUUAUCAUUUUACCUGUUAUCUCAUCCCUCCAUGGAAGAGAAUGGCGUCAAAACUUUCCGGAGUGGCGUCCCAGGUCCCGACGAAGAGGUUGUUUCCUUGUCUUCUGUGCUUCUCUAUACCUCCAUCAUAUUUAUGUGAUCAAAAAAUUAAUUUGAGAAAUCCUUCCUUGCCAUUGUUUAGUUAAGAUUUUCUGUACUUUUAAGUAUAUGUAGUAAAUUUUGAUUGAUUUUGAAUUCCACCAGACAUCUUUCUUGUGCAUAAUUUUUUUUUGGUGAUGCACAAAAAGAAAACAUAUUGCUGUCUCACCCAAAGAUCAGAACACCAUUGUAGUGGAGGGACUACAAAUGAUUGACAGAUUUCAGGUUCGUAAUUUUUUUGAGGAAAUUCAGGUCUGUAAUUGACUUUGCCAGUUUGGCUUAGGAUUACUUCAAGCCUGUAGCAGGUGAUCUACUUGUAGAUGUGAGCUGUGGGAGUGACUUGUGUUCAAGAAAAUAUGCAGAAUCUGGAUCCUAUUACACUGCUAUUCGAUUGGAUUUGUCGGAGAAUAUGGUUUGCCAAUGCCAUGAGUUCAUGAAGCAGGAUUAGCACUCUUUCUACUCUGGAAGUUUUUUUUUUCUUAUCAUGUUUCCUGCAUCCAACUUUUAUCUUUAAAAAACAUCUCGCAUCCUAAAAUUCAGUUUAAGAUACAAUACUAGCUUUUUAAGGUUUUUAUGUGCCAAUGUGGUGGGUGUUGCAGACUGUUGGGAUGCCUCUAUUUGCCUUUCAAGUGAAUAAAUGUCUGCCAAUCCAUUGCCA